CGUAGGGUGCAAGCGUUGUCCGGAAUUAUUGGGCGUAAAGAGCUCGUAGGCGGUCUGUCGCGUCGGCUGUGAAAACUCGGGGCUCAACCCCGAGCCUGCAGUCGAUACGGGCAGACUUGAGUGCUGUAGGGGAGGACUGGAAUUCCUGGUGUAGCGGUGAAAUGCGCAGAUAUCAGGAGGAACACCGGUGGCGAAGGCGGGUCUCCUGGGCAGUAACUGACGCUGAGGAGCGAAAGCGUGGGGAGCGAACAGGAUU
RNAcentral lists this ribosomal RNA (256 nucleotides) under uncultured bacterium. RNAcentral describes it as "partial 16S ribosomal RNA". It matches the Rfam family "Bacterial small subunit ribosomal RNA", at positions 526 to 779 of the family's 1533-position model. The record is from RNAcentral.